RNAcentral lists this long non-coding RNA (4025 nucleotides) under Olea europaea subsp. europaea. Lineage: Eukaryota; Viridiplantae; Streptophyta; Magnoliopsida; Lamiales; Oleaceae. The record is from RNAcentral.
CCAGGAAUUAAUGUUACGGGGGACAAAACUUUAGAAAUUCUAUGUACGAAUAAAAUUCAUAAAUAACAAAAAAAGUCAUAAUAUAAUAUUAUCAGUUACAGUUAUACCCGAUGAUGCUUUAUAGCAUAAAAUUCAUCAAUAAUAGAAUCUAAAUCUACAUUCAAAGAAAAUUCUCGUUCAAUGUAAAGUGUCAUACAAUCAACAAGAAAGCCAUCAUCCAUUUUGUUACAAAUUUCCGACUUCACAUGUUUCUUUGCAGAAAAUGCUCGCUCUACGGUAGCCGUUGAAAUAGGCAGCGACAAUACUAGACGAAUCAAUUUAGUCAAAUUGACGUAACUCUCCAAUCUUCUACUUGCAACCAAUUCUUGACAUAAAUCAGAAAGUGUAGAUACUUGAAAUCGAGGCUCAGAAAUCACAUCAUGCUGAUAAUGUUGCAACUCAACUUUCAAACUAUAAAUAUCUUGCUGUGUAAAAUCUUAAGGAUAAAAUUUCUCUGCAAGCUUGCAAAUAUUAUUCAUGUUAAAUGAUUCAAAAGAAUUUUUCGAAUCCAAUGCCACACCGAGAGAAAGAAGUUCUAAUGAUGUCUCACUAAAUCUUGUAUCUAACUCCGUCAUUAGAAAAUCUAUGGCUGCAUUAAAAAUAUCGAAGUAGUAAUGAUGUUCGAUGGUAGGAUACUCAUGACCACGAGAACGACCAACCAUGUAUGAGCUAUGAAAGUGAGGUAUAUGUAUAUCAUUUUUUGAACAAAAACAAUUCACCUCUUCAAGAAAUUCUUCCCAGCUAUCUUUUCUCAAUUCUUGAAUGAUGAUUUUUGUAGUAUGGACAAAUCUCAUAGCAGUUAAGAUGUCUUGAGUUUUUUUUUUCUGAAAGGCUUGAAAAAGCACAUCUGUGAUUGCCAACAUUCUGCGCAUUAAAUGCAAAAUAAAUACAAAUUCAAAUGUUGUCAAUUUUUUGUAUACACCAUCCACUUCAGACCGAGUUCUUACAUUUGGAGAAUGAUCACUAAGAUACUUAAGUACCUUGCAAGUUGCAGCAUAAAUAUCAAUCAAACUCUUUACAGAGUUGUAAUGAGAAGACCAACGAGUACCUCCAGCUCGUUGCAAGUUACCAAUUUGAUUAGCCACACUUCCAGUCUCUCGUUCUCUAAUUUCCAACAAAUGUUCAAUUUCUUUUUUUUGGGAGCUUUUCAACUCAUUGAUGCGCUUAGAAGAUGAUGUAAUCAUAUUAAUAACAUUGUCCAAAUCUGAAAUGAAUGAAUUAAUAUCUGCAACAUCCCUAGCUGCUGAAACCAACAUGAGUUGUAAACGAUGAGCAAAACAAUGGACAUAAUAUGCAUAUGGACAAUCUCUAAGAAAUAAUGCUUGUAGUCCAUUCCAAGCACCACGCAUGUUAUUAGCACCAUCAUACCCUUGACCUCUUAUGUUUUGCACUUGAAUGUUGAAACGAACAAGAACAUCAGAAAUUUGAUUCUUAAGAUUCAACGAUGUAGUGUCACUAACACUUUUGAUUGCAAAAAAAAGCUCUGUCAAAAUUUCAUUACCAUUCACAAACCUCAAGAUAAUAGCCAUUUGUUCUUGUGAAGAUGCAUCUCGAGCUUCAUCAACAAGAAUACUAAACUUUGCAUCCCCAAUUUCUUUACGGAUUCACUGUCUUACUCUGUUAGUCAUAAUGCUCAAAAUCUCUUUUUGAAUGUCUGGAGAUGUGUAUGUAGCAUUUUUUGGAGCAUUACCCAACACAACUUCUCCUAUUUUUGUAUUCAUUUUUCCAAAUGCAUCUACCAUUUCAAGAAAGUUCCCACGAUUCAGUGAAGAUGGAGAUUCAUCAUUGCCUCUAAAUGAACAACUUUGAAGUGCUAGCCACCGAACACUCAUAAUUGUGGUCAUUAGACUCAAACGAUUUUUCUGUUUUUCCUCACUUGAUACAUCGUGUAUUAUCUUGUCAAUAUGUUGUGUUGGUUUCAUUAGAUCUUCAGCUCUUCUCUUACAGCCAUUAUGAUAUGAUGAAGAUGUUGUACCAAUAUGAACAAGAAAUGCACAUUUACUUCCCUGACCAACCCUCUUCCAACUAUCAAAUUCAAUAGUAACCAAUGAUGAAAUAUUAGGUGGAACGCUUUCAUUGAGAAAAAGAAAGCAGAAAAAGCAAUAUGCCUUAUGUGUUGAAGGCGAAUACUCCAACCAAGAAUACUGAUUGUACCAAUGCUCUUGAAAUUGACGUUCUGUUUUCCAAAUUCUUUGCUUUGAUACUCCAAAAGUUUUGGUUGAUAAGGCCUAGCUUUUAAAUAGGCAUGCCUAAUUUGAUCACGUUCAUUAAACGGAUAUUCAUAUAUUUGCUUUCUUUUUCCUGGGUCUCGUUCUAUAGAAUCAGAUGGUUCUAACUCAACAUUGAAAAAUAAAGACCGUUCAAUUUUAGGAGAUGCAAUUGGAGGAUUAGGUAUCAUAGGAGUUGGAGUAGCAAUUGGAGGAUUGGGUACCGUAGGAGUUGGACCACCCUUGGGUUUGUCGCUCUUUGUAAAAAAAGAUAAUAAGGUUCUUCCUUUCUUGGCAAGAGGUCGAUUUGGUUUCAUAUUAAAAUCUAAAAGCAUAAAAAAAAUCAAAACACUUCAGUAUCCCAACAAUCCAAAAACAAUCCACUAGCAACAUUUUAACCACUUAUCUAACCUUUCAAAAAUAUAAUAACUAGUUAAAAAUUCAACACCAAAUCUUAGAAUUAUCAUACACUCAUAUCCAGAUCCAAAUAUCGUAUUAAACAUAAGUAUAUAUAAAUGGCAGAAGAUAAUAUAAAAGAUCAAUUACUUACAAGAAAAGGUAUUGGAUUCACCAUACAGAAUGAAGCUGGAAAAAUUGCUGUGCUUGAAGUACCUAGGCAACAGAAUAGUGGAAAAUUUGUGAAAAUCCCAAACAAUAAAACUGUUUCCGGCUCUAUUCCAUGAGAUCACUAAAUCUGUAGAGAUCGAGAGAGAGAGAUGCGUUGUAAAUCUGGGCAGGGAAUGAAUGUGAAGGAUAUAUCCAAACCUAAAGUAAACAACAUUUAAAUCACAUGAAGACAAGGUAAGUUAGGUAACUCUCAUUUUGACACUUAAAUGCUAACUGUCAUUUUGAUACUAAAAUGCCAAAAGAAUAUCUCAAUUUUUAUAAUCUCACAGCUCUAAGCUUAAGAAAAUAAUUAGUCAAGCAUUCCUAUUACAAAACUAUGUCAGAAAGGAAAAUAGAAUAGCGAAAAGAAAGCUAAUCGAAUAGACACUAAUUUGUAGUAACUUUAAUUGUGACUCUUUCUACUUUUAAAUGGUUUAAAUUAGAGAGUAAAACACAUAAAUAUCAAAGUUAAACUUCAUUCUUUGUACAAAGGAUUUGCUCAGAGUUACAUCAGUACUCAAUUAGAAAUUUUUAAGAACAAACUAAAGGAGUAACAACUCCACAACUCCCAAGAAAGAGUUGGCUAAAGAGAAGAGAAUACUAAAAUGACUUCUAAAAUAGAGGGCUCGAUAUCAAUAAACUAAAACAGAACCAAAACUCCUUUUUGUUUUUAUUCCCCGCCUAAGAAACUGAAAAACGACCAUUAAAGCCAGAGAGCUCCAGCUUCUUUGAGUAGUGGAACCAAAAUGCCAUUAAUAUGUGAUGCCAUAACUCGUUAAUGGGUUCGCUAAAGCCUAAUUCCAAUUAAAAAAAGUACCACAAAUAAAUCUUAUUAAAACUAAACAUAUUCAGCAAAGCUAAAAUAUAUUAAAUAAAAAGUUUUUUAGAAGGACAAACUCCAGAAUCACAAAACUCUAAUUACAUAAUCCCAGUCUCCAGAAGCCCUUCUCGUGAUUAACCUUAAAAAAAUUAAAAUUAAAAAGAAUUAAAAAAAAUAAAAUUUGAUACCAACAAUAAAUCCGAACUUAAUUGAAAUUUAAUCCCGCAAGCCCAAACAACAAACACAUAUAUGAACUUAACUGAAAUUUAAAACAAAGAGAUUAUAAAUCCGAACCUGUACAAUGAUAUUCAGGUUGGGUUCGGCCGUUCAGGACCUUGGGGUCCUAGGGUUUC